This is a non-coding RNA of Leptonychotes weddellii (Weddell seal), 336 nucleotides long. The record is from RefSeq and is a predicted model, not a curated record. Lineage: Eukaryota; Metazoa; Chordata; Mammalia; Carnivora; Phocidae.
UGCCACUUCUUAAGCUAAUGACUAAGUGAUUCAUUUGUGCUGACAUAUAAAAUAAUCUUCAUUUCUACAAGUAAAGUUACAUACAGGUGGGUAUUAAAAAAAUGAAUAAAAACAUAAUUUUGUUUUAACAGGUAUAUAAUCUGUCUCAGAAUAUUCAAGAAGAUGAUCUUCAACACUUGCAAUUAUUUACAGAGUAUGGCAGACUUGCAAUGGAAGAAAUCUACCAGAAACCAUUUCAGACAUUAAUGUUUUUAAUUCGGGAUUGGAGUUAUCCUUAUGAACAUUCAUAUGGUUUGGAAGGUGGAAAACAAUUCCUUGAAAAGAGAUUGCAGGUAA